Molecule: ribosomal RNA, 429 nt
Filed under: Rhynchophion sp. BIOUG02463-G03
Lineage: Eukaryota; Metazoa; Arthropoda; Insecta; Hymenoptera; Ichneumonidae
Description: partial 16S ribosomal RNA
Source: RNAcentral
GGUUUUUUGAUUUUAAUUUAAAAUUUGGCCUGCUCAAUGAAUUUAUUUAAAUAGCUGCAGUAUUUUGACUGUACAAAGGUAGCAUAAUCAAUAGUUUUUUAAUUGAAAGCUAGAAUGAAGGGUUCGAUGAAAUAAGUUCUUUUUUAUAAUUAAAAUUUAAAAUUUAUUUAUUAGUCAGAAAGCUAAUAUGAAUUUAAGGGACGAGAAGACCCUAUAGAUUUUAAUUUUAUUUAUAAAAUAAUAAAUUAAUUUAAUUAAUUUUUUUAUAAAUUUUAUUUGAUUGGGGUGAUUAUUAAAUUGGAUUAACUUUAAUUUUUUUUUACAAUGAUUGUUGGAUACAUGAUCCUUAAAUUAAGAUUAUAAGACUAAAAUACCUUAGGGAUAACAGUAUAAUUUUUUUGGAGAGAUCAUAUUUAUAAAAAAGAUUAU